Molecule: long non-coding RNA, 250 nt
Filed under: Gossypium barbadense (sea-island cotton)
Lineage: Eukaryota; Viridiplantae; Streptophyta; Magnoliopsida; Malvales; Malvaceae
Description: long non-coding RNA (GBAR_LNC011520)
Source: RNAcentral
AGAAGGAUUAUUUAAAUUCGGGAAUUGUUGAGCAGCCGGGUUUGUUCGGGCAUAUUGUGCAACCCACUCAUUCAUCAUGGUAAAGAAGGCUUGCUUAGCCCCAUCAUCUUGAUUACUCGCAGAUGGCUAAGGUUCAACAGGCGCUGUCCCUUGCGCGGGAGCAGGCGCUACACUCUCAACAUCAUCCGCUAAGGCUCUCUCUAGAGUGGAUUCCAUUUACUAAUCAAAACAACAAUUUCAACCGUCAAAA